UCUACAUCGGCGGAAGAAUGGAUCUAUCUAUAUCGGCGGAAGAAUGGAUCUAUCUACAUCGGCGGAAGAAUGGAUCUAUCUAUAUCGGUUUAGACUUUUUUUUAAAACCCUAACUUAAGCGUUAAAGCACAAUUAUUUAUUAUGUUUUUUUUUUGCUUCCUAAUAAUUGAAGAGACAGUCAGAGAAAGCGAUGGGAAGACAACAUACAUAGAAUGGGCGAGUCUGCCAUUGGAAGAGGUUCUAUCCAAGGCAAAAGACAGAGAGGAAAGGAGAGAGACGGUUAACGAAUCUUGUAUGGUACCCCAUUAGACUAAGGAAUAUGUGAAGGUGACUAAAUGUGAACAACAUAAAGAUGGGGACCGUAAAAGAAAUUGGGUUAAAUGGUAGUUACUAGAAAUAUUUUGAGUUAGGCAGGGGAGUUAUUGCUCUUUUUUUUAGGGGGGGGGGAUGAAGGAGGGGUGCUGUUACUUUUACUAUACCCAUUAGUUUGUGUAAGUGUGGUUACGCAGUAUAUUUGUAUAGGCCUAUAUAUAUAUAUAUAUAUAUUUCUGGUGAAAGGUCUAGACGACAAUGUUUUAAUAAAUGCUAUGUUUUCCUAAGCCUGAUCUUGCCAUACAUCCCUGUUCUAAGUAGAUCACUUUACCAGCACAUUUUGUCAUCACGAGUCUUGAGGACCAAAAAGUGUUUUUGUAAUUAUUGUACUUUGAUAAAAAUGAUCUUUUUUCAAUGAUCCGAAUUAAACCAAAAUGAAACCUUCA
Biomphalaria glabrata is the source of this 758-nucleotide long non-coding RNA. RefSeq lists it as uncharacterized. The record is from RefSeq and is a predicted model, not a curated record. Lineage: Eukaryota; Metazoa; Mollusca; Gastropoda; Planorbidae. The transcript has 2 exons.